This 235-nucleotide ribosomal RNA is filed under the name Streptococcus sp. UM0081A/B. RNAcentral's name for it is "partial 16S ribosomal RNA". It matches the Rfam family "Bacterial small subunit ribosomal RNA", at positions 173 to 408 of the family's 1533-position model. Lineage: Bacteria; Bacillati; Bacillota; Bacilli; Lactobacillales; Streptococcaceae. The record is from RNAcentral.
AAUGGAUGACACAUGUCAUUUAUUUGAAAGGGGCAAUUGCUCCACUACAAGAUGGACCUGCGUUGUAUUAGCUAGUAGGUGAGGUAACGGCUCACCUAGGCGACGAUACAUAGCCGACCUGAGAGGGUGAUCGGCCACACUGGGACUAAGACACGGCCCAGACUCCUACGGGAGGCAGCAGUAGGGAAUCUUCGGCAAUGGGGGCAACCCUGACCGAGCAACGCCGCGUGAGUGA